AAGACCACAACAACAACAUAGAUGUCGACCACAAUGUUCCAGGGUGCUGCUGCUGCUGAUGUGACUCUGACAAAAGGCAUACAAUUUGUUGUGAGCCAGUGGAUCCCUGUGAGCCAGCUCAUACUCCAAUGAUGUUGAUGAUUUGUGAUGAAAUGAAGAAGCGGGAUCAGAAGCCACCACCAUACCACUGAUUUAUUCAGGCAUGGCAGAGUUUUUACAUGAAAAUGUUCGGCGAAUUAGUGCUGCCACAUCUAUCGCCUGCAUCCGCACAUGGACUUUUUUAUUUUAUUUGCUGCAAUUCACAAAUAACUGAACCUAGAGACCAAAUUGUGCAUUUACGUAAUGUGAAGUUGUUAUUGUUGUAACAAAAUUUUAACAAUGGUGAAGCUUUAAUACUUGUAAACACAAAACUAACUGGGAAAUAAAA
Molecule: long non-coding RNA, 427 nt
Organism: Schistocerca piceifrons (Central American locust)
Lineage: Eukaryota; Metazoa; Arthropoda; Insecta; Orthoptera; Acrididae
Exons: 3
Source: RefSeq, a predicted model, not a curated record